Molecule: ribosomal RNA, 451 nt
Filed under: uncultured Glomus
Lineage: Eukaryota; Fungi; Glomeromycota; Glomeromycetes; Glomerales; Glomeraceae
Description: SSU rRNA
Rfam family: Eukaryotic small subunit ribosomal RNA
Source: RNAcentral
AGCAGCCGCGGUAAUUCCAGCUCCAAUAGCGUAUAUUAAAGUUGUUGCAGUUAAAAAGCUCGUAGUUGAAUUUCGGGGUUAGUAGAUUGGUCAUGCCUCUGGUAUGCACUGGUCUUACUGAUUCCUCCUUCCUGAUGAACCGUAAUGCCAUUAAUUUGGUGUUGCGGGGAAACUGGACUGUUACUUUGAAAAAUUAGAGUGUUUAAAGCAGGCUAACGCUUGAAUACAUUAGCAUGGAAUAAUGAAAUAGGACGUUCGAUCUUAUUUUGUUGGUUUCUAGGAUUGACGUAAUGAUUAAUAGGGAUAGUUGGGGCAUUAGUAUUCAAUUGUCAGAGGUGAAAUUCUUGGAUUUAUUGAAGACUAACUACUGCGAAAGCAUUUGCCAAGGAUGUUUUCAUUAAUACAAGAACGAAAGUUAGGGGAUCGAAGACGAUCAGAUACCGUCGUAGUC